UCCACUUAGAAAAUUAAAUGGUUAAAAAUGAGGAUAUUGCAUUUCACAGUAGUUUUAUGUAGCCUCAUUGAUUUCAGAUUUAAACUCUGCCAAGUCAAAAUGUUGGCUUUCUUACACAGGCAGUAAAUGGACGGAAUGGGCACCGGUUUUUAAAAGCAUCUAAGCAGCAAAGGAGCAGCGACGGACAUUGCAUCUUUGACUUCUCCGACAUGUUAGAAGGAGGAAAACAUGGGCCUUAGUCUCUCCUGCCUGAAAGGCUUUAAGACGUGCGUCAGCAGAGGGAGCGCGGCUGGUGUCAGCAGCCAGGGGCCCGUCAAGCACCUGCGAGUCCCAGACAUCAUCAUCACGCCCCCCACUCCCACGGGGAGGGCGCUGUCGGGCGACGCUGCCAGGCAGGCGGGGGAGGAAGCCCGGCAGAACUGCUGAGCCAGAUGGCUGGAGACGCAGCGACCAGGACUGUGCAACUGCCAUUCAAGAGCCCGGCUCUGCGAACGGCCCCCUCAGGACCUCCUCCGUGCCUCUGGACUUCCCUGCAGCCUCCUCCCUUUGCUUUCCUCUUCCUCCCAGCAGGCUUGGGGAAGAUGCCUUGAUGGAGCCACAUGGGCCUCACCGUGCGGACCUUCGCACCGUUCGAAGUGUGCAAGGAGC
Varanus komodoensis (Komodo dragon) is the source of this 648-nucleotide long non-coding RNA. RefSeq lists it as uncharacterized. The record is from RefSeq and is a predicted model, not a curated record. The transcript has 3 exons. Lineage: Eukaryota; Metazoa; Chordata; Lepidosauria; Squamata; Varanidae.